This 329-nucleotide ribosomal RNA is filed under the name uncultured bacterium. RNAcentral describes it as "bacterial SSU rRNA". It matches the Rfam family "Bacterial small subunit ribosomal RNA", at positions 28 to 334 of the family's 1533-position model. The record is from RNAcentral.
GACGAACGCGUGGCGCGUGCCUAAGUACAUGCAAGUCGAACGAAGGCACCUUGAAUUUGAUUCUUCGGAUGAAGAUUUUGGUGACUGAGUGGCGGACGGGUGAGUAACGCGUGGGUAACCUGCCUCAUACAGGGGGAUAACAGUUGGGAACGACUGCUAAUACCGCAUAAGCCCACAGGUCGGCAUCGACCAGAGGGAAAAGGAGCAAUCCGCUUUGAGAUGGCCUCGCGUCCGAUUAGCUAGUUGGUGAGGUAACGGCCCACCAAGGCGACGAUCGGUAGCCGGACUGAGAGGUUGAACGGCCACAUUGGGACUGAGACACGGCCCAG